GCCUCCCCAGGGGCGUCUCGCUGACACCCGCGUCCUUCUGCCUUCUUGUCUAGGUCCUUCUUUUCAUAAAGCAGGGCAAUAUGUAGGGGCAAUAGCUACAAUUCUGAAAUUAUUAAAGAUCGGGAGCCACGACUGAUCAGCUAUGUGACGUUGGGAAAGUCCCUAAAAAUCUCUGAAUUUCCUCCUUUGUGAAGCGGAAUUAUUUAUAGCUCCUUCCCGCACGAACGCUGAAGGGAAAGUCCGGCGAACAAUCCAGCACGGCGCCUUUUCCUUUCACUUGCUAAGUCAGGGCUCUGCUGCCAGACACGGAGGGUUUGUCAAGAUUUUCUCCCUGCCUCCGACCCCAUUAUAUCACGCACUGCAGGCAGGCACUUCUUAGCCUCAGCUUGCAGGAGGGGACAGAGGAAGAGGGAGGAGGAACCCGGACUUCUCCGCUGCACUUAUACUGCACGUGAACGUGUGGCAAGAAUCGCACACACACGUUUUGCCCUAACCAGCAUCUCGCCGCGGAUUGAGCCGAGGACAAACACAAGGUGCGAGCACUGGCAGGUUCCGGGCUGACGCGGUGUCCUCUCUGGGAGUGGAGCAGGAGCAGCGAACAGCUCAGAUGGGGCCAGAGACCCUGACCCGAGGAAGUCGCCGCCCAGGGCACUGCCCUUCCUGCUCUGCUCCUUGGCUCGGACCGGGACUCUGGAGUCCAGGAUGAGGGAAGGGUCCAUCCAGAAGCAGAGACAGACUUGGCUGCUACACUGGGCGUGGAGGCUCACAUUGGGGUGAAGAAUCAGUAUGGAGGAAAAGCAGGGCCAGGAGAUUGAAAGCAGAUGCAGUGAUAGCGCCUGGAUCCCCCUGUGCCUGAAGUAAGAAUCCGCUUUCCCCUCAGAAAGCUACCUGUAUGUCUGUAACCCUUGCAGGCAGUCAGGAUGGGUUGGGGGAAGAGCAAAGAGGACACGAUACAGAAAAGUGAGCUCUCUGGAAGGAGUCAGGUGGGACAGAAAGUUAAUCACUGAUGCUUGGUCUGCUCCAUAAAAAUGAAGGGAAAAGCCUUACUUAGGAAAAGGAGAUUACAGUUACCUGAGGGCUAAACAUUAAAAAUGAUAAAAUAUUUCCUAAAACAAGCCGAUCUGUGUGAAGACAAGAGGAAGAAAAGUUGUUGGAGCUACAGUCCUCACCCUCCCGCCAAGACGGGAGCGCUGACACGCCUUCGUCACACCACCGCGGAAAGAAUGCAAAGUUCCGCUCAGAAGACUGAAGCCGAGCUCCGGGUUGCUAUGAGCAGCCUCGGGAGAAGCUCACCGUGAACCCGGUCACUGAGAGUGUUCGUCCAGAGCGGACAGACAGACAGACGACACGCCAGAGAUCUGACCAUUCAUGGAAGAGAAAAAGUGCAAGAGUUUCAGGAAGAUAAAAAGAAAUGAGGUGAAAGCUAAAAUUUUCACUUGGUAACAGCUACGAAACUAGCCGCCAACGUUCCCCGAAGGCGUCCCAUGCGCUGACAUUACAGCAAGCGAGCUGUGGAACAAAGACACUCCUGAAGCACCGGGACUUUCCUCAUGCUCACUUCACAGGCCCUGAGAUGUCAAGUGGCUUCCUGAAACGAUUGUCCAGCUUAUCAGUGGUGGAACCAAGGUUUGAGUCUGAACUUGUCUGCCUCUGGAAGUUCAAAUACCUAAGGGCAUUUCCUAGCAGGAGUGAGAAGGGAAGAGGAAGGAGUUAAGGCAACUGGAGAAAGAGACCAUUUUCACGCUUUAUGUAAGGUAUAUUGUUACGCUUGUUAUUCUAUUUAGUUACUGUUAAUCUUUUACUGCACGCAAUUUAUGAGCUAAACUUUAUGGCGGGUAUAGGGGUGCAGGAAAUCACCACAUUUACUGGGUCAAUAGGUUUCAGGAGCCCCUGGAGGCCGUGGGGUGUGUCCCCAUGGGGACGCUACUGCAAUUCCUUGUUUACUUGUUCCCUUGUCUCUAGAUGCAAACACAGUCUAAGGGGCAGGGAGUUGAUGGCCCGGAGUCCCCACUGCACUUGAUGACAGGGCUGAAUGGGGGGUCGUGGGCCAGGCAGGGCCAGAGCACCUGGGCCGCUGCCUUGCAAGUGCUGGGCAAAGGACCGUGCUGGCCACAGCGACGGAGACGGAGACAGCCCUCCCAGUGGCCGGGGCGCUGCCGCACACAGGGUCCCUUGUUCUGAGCAGGUAUUAUUCAGAGCCUCCUAGUUUGGAAAGUGGAACAGGGAAGCAGAGACUUCUCCUCAUAAUCUUAUUCACUGGCGCAGCGUCCACUCACGGAAAGUGUUCCCCACUUCAACAGCCCUCUGGGUGCGACUCGGUUCAGCCAUCAAGGUCCUGCUGUGUCGGCUGGAAGGGUAAAGUGGACACAAGACGGACGCUGACUGCACAGCGAGGUGCACAUCUCCCAGGGGCUUCAGGAGUUCGGAGCUGUGUGGAUUAAACACCAGCGAGCUGCUUGGAUCAGAUACCGUCAUCGUGGGACAGGGAUCUGGCGACAUUCAGUUGGCAGAGGAAGGGGACAUGGACAAGUUCUUCAAAGGGAAUUCGACUGGAACAUGAGAGGACUUUGCCAGGCUCUUGGGAAGCCUGACAAGGAGCUUCAAAUGUUUUCCAAAACGUCCCCUGCUGCGGCUGUGUUGCUAGGACCGAAGGACACUU
Molecule: long non-coding RNA, 2659 nt
Organism: Fukomys damarensis (Damara mole-rat)
Lineage: Eukaryota; Metazoa; Chordata; Mammalia; Rodentia; Bathyergidae
Exons: 3
Source: RefSeq, a predicted model, not a curated record